AUGCAAUCGCUCAUCUCACUGUUGGGAGUGGGGGAAAGUUGGAAAAAGGAUCUUGUUUUCAUAUAACAGUGUGAAGGAAUGAUUUUGAUUGUGAGGGCUAGGGAAGUUGAGCUCUCAAACUCACAGAAGGGAAAGCAGGAAAUAAGGAAACUGCUUAAACCAGCAAAAUAAAAGAAAAAAAGAUGAAAUAAUAAUGUGAAAUAAAUAGUGUAAGAUAAAAAAGAAUAAAAUCAGAUAAUAGUGGUUAUUACUCUAAAGACGAAUGGACUAAAUUCUGUCAAACUAGGUUUAAAAAUAACAGUUAAAUGCUCUUACAAUAUUGAAAAUGAAGGGGCAUGCCAAGAACUAGCAGGCAACAGCUGAUAAAUUUAAGAAAUGAAGCACUACUUUCAGAUAAGAUUGAAUUUAAGAUUGGAAUAUAAUCAAAUCUUAAAUGAGAUAAAGAGGGGUAUUAUCUGAUGACAAAAGAUACAGUUUAAGAUAAUAUGAAAGCCAUCAUACAAAAUAGCAACUGUAGUAUGAAGGAUUUCCAGAGCUCUGUCCUCAUCUCCAAGAGUCGUUUUUCUGUAAUCCUCCGGAUUAUUGGCUGUGAGCGCCAUUAAAAUUUUAUUUUAAUGCUCUAUUUUAAAAAUUAAAUGGCAGAGGAUUUCUUAAAUUUAUGUCAUGUAACUGCUUUCCUAUGAAGCUCUGUCAGUUGCAGAGAGCCAGCCAUCUGCACUUGAACAAAUCUGUUAAAAACCUGCCUCUCAUAACCCUGACAAUGGAAAUAGUUGCCAGACAGGUAAAGAUUCAGGGUGACCUCUCCUGGAGUGAAGGAACGAGGGGUUCGGAGGGACUUUCGAGGGUCGCUGUCUUGCAGAUGCGGGGUGUCCCUGCGCCCCCAUCUCCGCCGCUGCGCCCUAACUGUGUGUCCCCCUUCUGUCCUCAGAGGCUGCCGGCGCGGACCCAGACACAAGGCGGGCGGCGACUAGUGGCUUCACUGGCUGCCUCUCGGCGGUGCGCUUCGGCCAUGCUGCUCCCCUGAAGGCGGCGCUGCGCCCCAGCGGCCCCUCCCGGGUCACCGUCCGCGGCCACGUGGCCCCUAUGGCCCGCUGCGCGGCGGGGGCGGCGUCUGGCUCCCCGGCGCGGGAACUGGCUCCCCGACUCGCGGGGGGCGCAGGUCGUUCUGGACCAGCGGAUGAGGGAGAGCCCUUGGUUAAUGCAGACAGAAGAGACUCUGCU
This 1221-nucleotide small RNA is filed under the name Pongo abelii (Sumatran orangutan). RNAcentral describes it as "retained intron". Lineage: Eukaryota; Metazoa; Chordata; Mammalia; Primates; Hominidae. The record is from RNAcentral.